GACGGAGGAUGCAAGUGUUAUCCGGAAUCACUGGGCGUAAAGCGUCUGUAGGUGGUUCGAAAAAGUCCACUGUUAAAAAAUUGAGGCUUAACUUCAAAGAUGCCGUGGAAACUUUCAAACUAGAGUAUGGUAGGGGUAGAGGGAAUUUCCAGUGGAGCGGUGAAAUGCGUAGAGAUCCGGAAGAACACCGGUGGCGAAGGCGGCCUGCUGGGCAGUAGCUGACACUGAGGCGCGACAGCGUGGGGAGCAAACAGG
This 255-nucleotide ribosomal RNA is filed under the name uncultured bacterium. Its description in RNAcentral is "partial 16S ribosomal RNA". It matches the Rfam family "Bacterial small subunit ribosomal RNA", at positions 524 to 776 of the family's 1533-position model. The record is from RNAcentral.